RNAcentral lists this ribosomal RNA (426 nucleotides) under uncultured prokaryote. RNAcentral's name for it is "bacterial SSU rRNA". It matches the Rfam family "Bacterial small subunit ribosomal RNA", at positions 355 to 774 of the family's 1533-position model. The record is from RNAcentral.
UCGAGGAUCUUCCGCAAUGGACGAAAGUCUGACGGAGCGACGCCGCGUGAGUGAUGAAGGCCCUUGGGUCGUAAAGCUCUGUCAUCAGGGACGAACGGUCACGUCAGGAAAUGGGCGUGAAUUGACGGUACCUGAGAAGGAAGCCACGGCUAACUACGUGCCAGCAGCCGCGGUAAUACGUAGGUGGCGAGCGUUGUCCGGAAUUAUUGGGCGUAAAGCGCGCACAGGUGGGAUCUUAAGUCUGUUCUGAAAGUUCGGAGCUUAACUCCGUGAUGGGAUGGAAACUGGGAUUCUUGAGUAUCGGAGAGGAAAGCGGAAUUCCCCGUGUAGCGGUGAAAUGCGUAGAUAUGGGGAGGAACACCAGUGGCGAAGGCGGCUUUCUGGACGAUGUCUGACACUAAGAUACGAAAGCGUGGGGAGCAAACA